AUUGAACGCUGGCGGCAUGCUUUACACAUGCAAGUCGAACGGUAACAGGCCGCAAGGUGCUGACGAGUGGCGAACGGGUGCGUAAUGCAUCGGAACGUGCCCAGUCGUGGGGGAUAACUACUCGCAAGAGUAGCUAAUACCGCAUACGAUCUAUGGAUGAAAGCGGGGGACCGUAAGGCCUCGCGCGAUUGGAGCGGCCGAUGUCAGAUUAGGUAGUUGGUGGGGUAAAGGCUCACCAAGCCAACGAUCUGUAGCUGGUCUGAGAGGACGACCAGCCACACUGGGACUGAGACACGGCCCAGACUCCUACGGGAGGCAGCAGUGGGGAAUUUUGGACAAUGGGCGCAAGCCUGAUCCAGCAAUGCCGCGUGCAGGAAGAAGGCCUUCGGGUUGUAAACUGCUUUUGUACGGAACGAAACGGCUCUGGUUAAUACCCGGGGCUAAUGACGGUACCGUAAGAAUAAGCACCGGCUAACUACGUG
Molecule: ribosomal RNA, 482 nt
Filed under: uncultured bacterium
Lineage: Bacteria
Description: partial 16S ribosomal RNA
Rfam family: Bacterial small subunit ribosomal RNA
Source: RNAcentral